RNAcentral lists this ribosomal RNA (233 nucleotides) under uncultured Planctomycetales bacterium. Its description in RNAcentral is "partial 16S ribosomal RNA". It matches the Rfam family "Bacterial small subunit ribosomal RNA", at positions 439 to 663 of the family's 1533-position model. The record is from RNAcentral. Lineage: Bacteria; Pseudomonadati; Planctomycetota; Planctomycetia; Planctomycetales.
GGAGUUAUGAAAUGCCGGUGGGUGAAUAUCCUGUCGGUUUGACAAAGGCCCAAGAGGAAGCCACGGCUAACUUCGUGCCAGCAGCCGCGGUAAUACGAAGGUGGCAAGCGUUGUUCGGAAUCACUGGGCGUAAAGGGUGCGUAGGCGGUACGGUAAGUCGGUAGUGAAAGCCCUCGGCUCAACCGGGGAAUUGCUUCCGAAACUGCCGGACUCGAGUGCAGGAGGGGAGAGUG